Molecule: ribosomal RNA, 376 nt
Filed under: uncultured bacterium
Lineage: Bacteria
Description: bacterial SSU rRNA
Rfam family: Bacterial small subunit ribosomal RNA
Source: RNAcentral
UACGUAGGGUGCGAGCGUUAAUCGGAAUUACUGGGCGUAAAGUGUGCGCAGGCGGCGCUGCAAGUCGAGUGUGAAAUCCCCGAGCUUAACUUGGGAAUUGCGCUCGAAACUACGGCGCUGGAGUAUGGCAGAGGAAGGUGGAAUUCCACGUGUAGCGGUGAAAUGCGUAGAGAUGUGGAGGAACACCGAUGGCGAAGGCAGCCUUCUGGGCCAAUACUGACGCUCAUGCACGAAAGCGUGGGGAGCAAACAGGAUUAGAUACCCUGGUAGUCCACGCCCUAAACGAUGAUGACUAGUUGUUGGAGGAGUUAAAUCCUUUAGUAACGCAGCUAACGCGUGAAGUCAUCCGCCUGGGGAGUACGGUCGCAAGAUUAAA